AGAGUUUGAUCCUGGCUCAGGAUGAACGCUGGCGGCGUGCUUAACACAUGCAAGUCGAACGAAGCACUUUAUUUGAUUUCCUUCGGGACUGAUUAUUUUGUGACUGAGUGGCGGACGGGUGAGUAACGCGUGGGUAACCUGCCUUGUACAGGGGGAUAACAGUUGGAACCGGCUGCUAAUACCGCAUAAGCGCACGGCAUCGCAUGAUGCAGUGUGAAAAACUCCGGUGGUAUAAGAUGGACCCGCGUUGGAUUAGCUAGUUGGUGAGGUAACGGCCCACCAAGGCGACGAUCCAUAGCCGACCUGAGAGGGUGACCGGCCACAUUGGGACUGAGACACGGCCCAAACUCCUACGGGAGGCAGCAGUGGGGAAUAUUGCACAAUGGGCGAAAGCCUGAUGCAGCGACGCCGCGUGAGCGAAGAAGUAUUUCGGUAUGUAAAGCUCUAUCAGCAGGGAAGAUAAUGACGGUACCUGACUAAGAAGCACCGGCUAAAUACGUGCCAGCAGCCGCGGUAAUACGUAUGGUGCAAGCGUUAUCCGGAUUUACUGGGUGUAAAGGGAGCGCAGGCGGUGCGGCAAGUCUGAUGUGAAAGCCCGGGGCUCAACCCCGGUACUGCAUUGGAAACUGUCGUACUAGAGUGUCGGAGGGGUAAGCGGAAUUCCUAGUGUAGCGGUGAAAUGCGUAGAUAUUAGGAGGAACACCAGUGGCGAAGGCGGCUUACUGGACGAUAACUGACGCUGAGGCUCGAAAGCGUGGGGAGCAAACAGGAUUAGAUACCCUGGUAGUCCACGCCGUAAACG
RNAcentral lists this ribosomal RNA (802 nucleotides) under uncultured bacterium. Its description in RNAcentral is "bacterial SSU rRNA". It matches the Rfam family "Bacterial small subunit ribosomal RNA", at positions 8 to 808 of the family's 1533-position model. The record is from RNAcentral.